GCAGUUGAGUUCGAACUCCAGUGCUGGAAUAGCGCCUCGUUGUAUAUCUCUCAUGUGCUCUACAAUUGGUGACUGCGGACGUCUGGAUCUACGCGAAACUUGUUCCUAGUAAAACGCGCCACACAAAAAGGAAGUGGAGCCAAGUCGAACACCGAGAACGAACGCCAGCAAGAUCCGACCAACCCUGAAGCCUCUGAGCCCGCCUAAACCGCUGCGGUUGCCUCGAACGUCAUACGCCUGCCAGAAGUUUGGGAGCGGAAGCCGACUGCGUGGUUCAUCCAAGCGGAGGCCCGUUUCGAACUCUCGCUGAUUACGUCACAGACCCAUAUAAGGCAUCACGGGACGGAGAGAUUUUGCCAGAGCACUCGCCAGGAUGCUUACGUAUGCUGCGGUCCAAGGCUCGAAUCACGAUUACCGUGUUUGUGGUUUGAGCGAGCUCAUGGACUUGUUCAAUGUGGCAUGACCACAUGCGAAUCAUGGGAGAGGUUGAUGUAACGAAAUUUAAUAAGCAGCGUUCAUCUCCGAAUCUCCGUGAGAAUGUUUGCAGACGAGCACGCACCUGUGCUGCUGCUUCUCCUCCUCUUGCGUCCGAUGGGACCACCGAGCACCGGGAGCGCAACAGAGGCCUUCGGCGCGGCAGCAGCAGCAGCCAGCCAGCCAGCCAGCCAAGCCGGCGAGCGGCUCGGGCUGCGGCAGCGCUCGCCCGCUCCUCUUCCCGGCGGGAUCGAUUCGAACGCGCGCGCGCUCAGGCCCCGGGCCCGCGCACUGGCCGAACGAACCCCGCUUCGGUCUCGACGCACGCACAGCGCGCGCGCGGACGCUGCGCUGCCACUCGCGGCUCGGCGCGCUCACCUGCCUGUAGGAGCGCGCGCGCGCGCCCCGCUGGAAGCAAGGAGUGCGGAAUGCGCCUUCCGACCGCGUCUCGGAGCAUCGCACCAGCUCGGAUACCCGGUAAUCUGCUGAAGACUUCGACUGUGGCUCCGUUCGAGUCUGCUGCCGUUCUGACUGAGCAAAAGAGCAUCUAGAGCUGCCACGGAAACGCAGCUCUGGAGCGCAUGUCGUUGCGUCCCCUCAUACUAGGUAGCCACGGGCGUUGUAGGCAAUUUAGGCUGCAGCUUCAGUUGCACUGACUACAGGAAUGAGUGUCUGAAAGCACGCGAUAUGAAUGCCGGAAUGUGACUCCGGAUUUCACCUCGUGGCAGACUCUCUUCUUGAAGACCUAAGAGCUCCCGAGAACUUCAGCCGUGCCACGGAUUGCUUCGACAGCCAGAGGGAGUGUGCCAUUCUACGUCUGAAAGGGCUGCUGACGAAGCCAAGAUCCCGACGCCAUCUUUUUGGCCUUACGCCCUUCAGUAUUGGGAAAAUUGCUAAAUUAUGCGACCUCCGGCGUGCCAGUGCAUGAGGAAGCGUUAAAGACCGCAGCUCACGACUGAGUAAAGUUUCUUAGGUCUCACGCCCAAGAAUCAACUGUGGUGUUGUGCGCACAGGAAAGGUUUUCAAAAAGACACUUCAGAGAAACCGACGCAUUGUUGUCACUUCGAGGCAGGGUUUCUUUCUGAACGACAUCGCGCGCAGGUCGCAGCGUACCACGUCCUAAACGCCAGCUGAAGUCUCCGUAACAAGGUGUGGUGGCCAAAAAUUAUGCGUUGCUCAUUGUCAAUACAUUUUAGUGCACCAAAUAUUCUCCACCUUCAACGCUGACUAGAACCGAAAGUCGUGUUGGCGUUCGCACCACCACUCUUUCAGAUUUUCCAAAGAGAAUCUGGCAUCCAGAAAAGUUGCUCAAGUGUGCGAUGGUCCAUGGAGUAACCGACAACGGGUUGAUGCAUCAGUGAGUGUUGUGCGUAAAGUAGCUUGUGUUUGAAACCGACGAAGCAUUGCAAGCAAGUGGUGUUAAGCGUCUUCGGUGCCGCCAGACGUGCCUGUUGGAGAACUUAUUGUGUCAUCGCUUCGCUGGAGCAUAUGACAGUAUCUCGCGUGUUCAAUGCUGCACAUUUCCAUCAUACAUUACUCUUAAGGCAAACUGUAGCCUUUAAGGUGAAGCCAACAAAACAGGGCAAGUUGCUGGCUUCUAUGUGUUACAGUGUGUGGAUUGUGCUCCAGUGUUGAAGCCACCAUUUUGACACAUUGGCUCUGGUUUCUCGGCAAGGACUGGACAGCACACUUGUGUCCCCAGUGCUCUUAAUCACCACGGUAUUGAGAGAACGUGCUCAACGCUCACUUGCGGGGGCACGUUUUAGUCGACGGCUUCUCUCUGAAACUCUGAGAAUUCAGCCCAGCGUAAUCGAUAGCUUUUUAUAGAGACCUUCUUCUACCUUGCUUUGUCCUAGCUUCCGUGUAAUUUGUCUGAACAGUUUGUUCUGUGACCUGUCAGCGCUGGCCUGUAUCCAUAGGGCGUAGAUUAACACUAUACGUGGAAGGCUGGCAUUCAGUCGACUUCUCUGCUUUAAGAUUGAAGCGUGUAGAGCCGAUUUGGAAGGCCUGAAAGGAAUGUUUGCUAACCAACUGUACUUCCAGGUAGAAACAAAAAUCUUCAUCGCUAAAUGUAUCGAAAGGCAUCUUUAGCUCUGGCAAUGACUGACGAUUAAUUUCGUCGGCCAACCUGUUGCCGAGAAGUCGUUAGUAACAGCUGCACUUCGCUCGCUAUCGAACACCGCCUGCUUUCAACAGGCUCUGGUAAGAAAGGGCAAAAGUGCGUCAGCUGCAAUUUGUCUUUAUCUUGAGUGGUAGUGAAAGGUUUGUCGCAGUCGCUGCUGUGCAGUCAGAGUCGUGAAAAGGUUUGACGGACAUUUGUUAUUGGUACUCAGAUCUUACUCCAGCUCAGUAUGACAGAUCCGUACAUCAGCUCAAACCUUUUAUUGGCCCUUCAGUCCUGUAGUCUCACUGUAUGGCUACUUUUUUCAGGCUAAUAUAAAGCUUAAGCGCACAAGAAAUUAUUUGAAACGUAAAUGAGGAAUCAUUCGGGCACUCCUUCAGAGGUUCCUUCGCUAAUAAGCUCAAUAUUUGCGCUGAAAACAAUGACUAGAACCAUAGCCACUCUUAAAGCACAAAUGGUCCACCAUUUGCUGCCGAAUUAAGUUGUGCAACUUGUUUCUGAAACACGCAGCUGCCAUUGUGCUUGAGGCAGCAGAGGAUUGCUUCGCAAUAGGGGAAGUUUCCCGACGUAGUCACGUAGUCCACGCAGAUAUUUGUCCACAUGCAGCCCUAAAAAACAAAUAAUGGAAGAUUUGGCUCACGUACCCUCCGGUAACCUCCGGAUAGCAAAGGCCUAAACUAACGCCCAAACAAUUAACGCACUCUGACUACGUGAGAGUGUUUUGUUUUUAGGGAAAGACAACUAUCCUUAAAAAGUAAGAGAAACGACCUGGGAGAAGAAACAUAUUGUGCAGUUUUUGUAAAGUAGUCAGGCGAUCGAAACGGAAACAGUGCACUGGCAUCACUCUCUGCGUUACCCGACGUUCCAGCGACGAGACCAGUUUGUGAAUAAGGAGUGAGAGAUUGCCAAAACAUAAAGCUGAGCCAAAAAAAAAAAAGGAAGAGAGAUCCUUUCGCCAUUGAACUGACGUGUGCGCGUCGUGGUUGUGCUUGGUGCUUUUUUUCCGAACUGCUGCUACUCGUGAGUGCGUUGCUCUGUGCGCGCCGUGUGCAGUGUGCCGCUCUGUGCUGGUGCAUCCGUGCGCGACGGCCCCACGUGCGCGUGCCGGAGAGUGCUUCGAGGUAAACGACACGUUUUAUCGCUCCACCCGGCCGGCCCCAGAGGACGAGGCAGGCGGGCUACGAAGCGACGCUCAGCUCGCCAAGCACAAGCCUUCUCGCCUCUCCCGACUAUCGUUCACAGGAGUUAAGGGGGGAGGAGCGAAGAACGCCAAUCUUGCAAGUCCCAAGCGCCAUAGAUGUGCAGCUAAGCGCGCAGAAGCCUUUGUUGUGCAAAAAGAAAGGAGGCAAGCACAGAGAUCUCAUCCAAGCCAUCCAUUGCACAAAGGUCCGCGUUUCGGCAUACUUGAAGCCAACGGAGAAGGAUAUCUUGAAAAAAAAAAGAAGACCUCCUAAGACGUAUCUAAAUUGUUCAAUCCGCUUUUAAACUUCUUUAGUGCAUGUUUGGCUUAGCGUCUCUUUUGAGGUGUAGCCAUUGUUCGCCUCGCGCACGAAGUUAGGUGUAGUGAAAUAUUGCUCUCUUAGGAAUAUUGCCCAUCCCGUUAUUCGCUUGAGACGAAACGUUGUUGAGGAGCACAUAGAGAUAGAUGCCU
This is an RNA transcript of Dermacentor albipictus, 4247 nucleotides long. RefSeq lists it as uncharacterized. NCBI's taxonomy places the organism in Eukaryota, Metazoa, Arthropoda, Arachnida, Ixodida, Ixodidae. The record is from RefSeq and is a predicted model, not a curated record.